GAUCAAAGUGUAGUAUCUGUUCUUAUCAGCUUAAUAUCUGAUACGACCUCCAUCGGAGGUCAAGAUAUUAAACUAUUUUUUUCCGGAGGUGGAACAUUUGAAGCUUGCUUCUGUUCCACCACGGGUUGCC
RNAcentral lists this small nuclear RNA (130 nucleotides) under Seuthes inermis. RNAcentral describes it as "partial U2 snRNA". It matches the Rfam family "U2 spliceosomal RNA", at positions 25 to 155 of the family's 192-position model. From Rfam's summary of the family: U2 is a small nuclear RNA (snRNA) component of the spliceosome (involved in pre-mRNA splicing). Complementary binding between U2 snRNA (in an area lying towards the 5' end but 3' to hairpin I) and the branchpoint sequence (BPS) of the intron results the bulging out of an unpaired adenosine, on the BPS, which initiates a nucleophilic attack at the intronic 5' splice site, thus starting the first of two transesterification reactions that mediate splicing. The record is from RNAcentral. Lineage: Eukaryota; Metazoa; Arthropoda; Arachnida; Opiliones; Assamiidae.